This 506-nucleotide ribosomal RNA is filed under the name uncultured delta proteobacterium. Its description in RNAcentral is "bacterial SSU rRNA". It matches the Rfam family "Bacterial small subunit ribosomal RNA", at positions 30 to 523 of the family's 1533-position model. The record is from RNAcentral. Lineage: Bacteria; Deltaproteobacteria.
CGAACGCUGGCGGCGUGCCUAACACAUGCAAGUCAAACGGGUGGUAGCAAUACCAUCAGUGGCGCACGGGUGAGUAAUGCAUGGGUGAUCUGCCUUUUAGAGGGGGAUAACUACGCGAAAGUGUAGCUAAUACCGCAUAAGCAGUACCGAGUGAGUUAGGUACUGGAAAGAUGGGGACCGCAAGGCCUAUCGCUAAGAGAUGAGCUCAUGUCCCAUUAGCUUGUUGGUAGGGUAAUGGCCUACCAAGGCGAAGAUGGGUAGCUGGUCUGAGAGGACGAUCAGCCACACUGGAACUGAGACACGGUCCAGACUCCUACGGGAGGCAGCAGUGGGGAAUAUUGCGCAAUGGGCGAAAGCCUGACGCAGCAACGCCGCGUGGGUGAUGAAGGCCUUCGGGUUGUAAAGCCCUUUCGGCCGGGAAGAAGGGUGUACGGGUGAAUAAUUCGUGCAUUUGAUGGUACCGGAGGAAGAAGCACCGGCAAACUUCGUGCCAGCAGCCGCGGUAA